Molecule: ribosomal RNA, 826 nt
Filed under: Starmerella meliponinorum
Lineage: Eukaryota; Fungi; Ascomycota; Dipodascomycetes; Dipodascales; Trichomonascaceae
Description: eukaryotic LSU rRNA
Rfam family: Eukaryotic large subunit ribosomal RNA (bases 146-826)
Source: RNAcentral
UACUAGGUUCUCCUAGUAGCAUGCUUGUUGGAGCGCCGAACUUUCUCUCUAACUCUUCUUCUGAAGAGUCGUGAGGUAUUGCUUCUGCUAGAAGUCAAAGAAAUGGAACAGCACACGUUAAUAACUCUGUGCAGUAAUAUUUUUAUGGCCCCCAAUCAAGCAAGAUUACCCGCUGAACUUAAGCAUAUCAAUAAGCGGAGGAAAAGAAACCAACAGGGAUUGCCUUAGUAACGGCGAGUGAACAGGCAAGAGCUCAGAUUUGAAAGCCUUCUGGCAUUGUAUUCUGAAGUAUUUAUCCUGAGUAAUGAUGUCUAAGUCUUCUGGAAAGGAGCGCCAUGGAGGGUGAUAGCCCCGUGUGACAUCCCACUCAUUGUAGGAUUUAUACGUGGAGUCGAGUUGUUUGGGAAUGCAGCUCAAACGGGUGGUAUGCUCCAUCUAAAGCUAAAUAUCUGUGAGAGACCGAUAGCGAACAAGUACUGUGAAGGAAAGAUGAAAAGAACUUUGAAAAGAGAGUGAAAAAGUACGUGAAAUUGUUGAAAUGGAAGGGUAGGCCGCUAACCAUGUAGAACCGUGUUUGGGGGGAAGAUAAAAGCUGAAGAAUGUGGCUCCUCGGAGUGUUAUAGCUUCAGUCAAUAUUCCCAUCCGAGCGCGAGGAUCUCAGGUUCUACUAAAUGGUGGUCUACCACCCGUCUUGAAACACGGACCAAGGAGUCUAUUGCCUGCGCGAGUAUUUGGGUGGCAAACCCAUAUGCGAAGUGAAAGCGAGUGGUUCCAACCUUCGGGGGCAGAAUCAGCCGACCGUUCAUAGGAACGGAUUGAGUGGAGC